AGGGACUUGCGGGUUUGCAUGCGUGCGUUCGUUCAUUCACUCACCCAAUUAUUCGUUAAUUCAACCAGUAUUUAUCAAUGCUUGCCUACUACGUAACAAGGGUUACAUUAUGAAGUUCUAGCUUUCAAAGAACUUACAGUCUAAUGGGGGAAAACACUGAAAUAUGUUGGUAGAGCGUCUUACUUAUUCAUAAUUGCCCUACUUGGACUGGGCAAAAAACUUGGAGAGCACAGCAGUUUCGAUGGUAGUAAAAUGGAGACAAGUUAGGAAAUCCAGACCCUGGCAGCCACCAUUCUACGCUUUGCCUCUAUGAAUUUGACUAUUGGAGAUAGCUCAUGCACCAUAGGAGCAGUGGCAGCUUGGCUGAUGAGCUAUAAGCCAGCCUUGUUUGGGUUCCUAUUCCUUCUGCUGUUGCUUAGCAACUGGUUGGUCAAGUAUGAACACAAACUCACCCUCCCAGAGCCCCAGCAGCUUAAAAGGAGGAAGAGAAACCAAAGACUUCUGAAAAUGACUCCAAGAACAACAAGGCCGUGAACACAAAAGAAGUCAAUAGAACACAUGCCUGCUUUGCCCUCCAGGACGAGAUCCUCCAAAGGCUAUUGUUCAGUGAAAUGAAGAUGAAGGUCCUAGAAAAUCAGAUGUUCAUCAUAUGGAAUAAAAUGAAUCACCACAGGCGGUCAAGCAGACAUCGGAAUUUUCCCAUGAAGAAACACAGAAUGAG
Molecule: RNA transcript, 721 nt
Organism: Gorilla gorilla gorilla (western lowland gorilla)
Lineage: Eukaryota; Metazoa; Chordata; Mammalia; Primates; Hominidae
Gene: TEX46
Gene name: testis expressed 46
Exons: 4
Source: RefSeq, a predicted model, not a curated record